UAUACACUUUCAAAGAUGUCGGGUGACAGAAUUUGCAAGGUGUAAUCUAACCCUAGUCACUAAUGUGCCAACGAAGAAAUGUCAGCAAGAAACAGGAACAGUGUAAGAAAACUCGUUAAGAAUAGCAAAGAAACAGGAACAAGAACAAGACUACCAAUUAAAAGCCUGCUAGUAAACUCAGAGAAAGGAAAACAAGAAAAGCACACUGUCACCCUGUUAUGACAGAACUAUAAAAUACCAGUACCAGAGAGAGACAUCAUGAAUUAAUUGAAUUAAAGAAUAUCAAAGAAGAAUCAGAAUAUCCAAGGAUAUAACAGGCGACAAACAAGGAGGCGGCAAUAAAAUAAAAUAAAUAGUGAUAAACAGUGAUAACGCGGCACAAAUAAUUAAAUAUAAAAUAUAAGUAUAUUGAAUAUAGAAUAACCGCAUCAAAGCAAACCAUAAAUAUAUUAAUUUAAUUUACAACACUUUGUACAACCAUAAAUAUAAAAUUAAACUAAAUCAUAACAGUAACUUUAAUUCAGUUAAUUCAGAAUGAAUGAACAAUGACGGAAUGAAAGAAUGAACGAAUUAUCAGUGAAGUUAUUAAUAAAGAAAUUAAAGAGAAUGAAGUGAAUAGGAAGCGUAAAGUAUAAAGUGAAAGCCACGACCAGCAUAAUGUAAUAAUAUAGGGUAAAGCAACGCAGUGUAAUAUAAUGCAAUGUAAUAUAAUAUAAUGUAAAACAAAUGAUAUAUAAUAAAAUAAAAUAGAAUAUAAAAUACAAGAAGUGGACUCAAAAUAUAACCGUAAAGCUUAUUAACUAAAUACUCUAUUUCUUUACCAAAGCAAAUUAUAUGUUAAAUGGUAAAUGGUGGAUGAUAAGUGAUCAUGUCAAUGCAAAUGUAAAUAGAACCAAUUAUUUCAUGACAUUUCAAAAUAAGGAAAUAAACAACACGUAAAUAAAUCAAAUCAAAUGUAAACUGUGUAAUUCAGUUAAACACUAUGCUACUGCAUAGUGUAAGAAUGAAUGAAUCAAUCAAUCAAUAAGUAAGUAAAUAUUUUAAACUAAUAUUAAAAAUGGUGAAAUUAAACAGAACCCGCGCAGCAUGAAAGCAUUUGAAUAGACAAAACCACUCAUCAUCACAGAAGAAUAGCAAAAUUAAUUAAGAUAAAUGAAAUCAAAUCCCCAACCUCAACUGAUCAGAAUAAAUAAAUGAAUGAAUAACGAAUAAUGAAUAAGUGAAUGAAUGAAUGAAUGAAUAAAUCAAGGAAGAGAGAAACAGCAGAAUACCAGCAAGUACGAGUAAGCAAACCCUAAUGCACCAAAGCCACGGUGUCAAAAUUAGCAUGCAAGGACUAGCUAAAAGGAACGACAUUGAAUAAGAGAACUGAAUUGCAACUGAAAAGGAAAAGAAAAGAAAGGAUACAAGGUAAGAAACAGCCCACCAUCAUGGAAGAGCAACAUUAUGACCAGAGAAAGACGUCAUGAAUAAGCUGGAUUAAAGGAAAUCAAAGGAACACCAAAACAUUAAUGAAUAUCAAGGAUGCACAGGGAAAUCAAGAACAAAUCAAGAAGCGAUAAUGAAACAAAAUGUAUAACAGCGAUAACGCGACCUAAUAAAUUAGAGUAAUAAUAAAUAUAUUAAAUACAAUAUAAAAUAAAGAAUAACCAUGGAAGCAAAUCAUAAAUAUAUUAAUACUAAUACAAUCUACAGAACUUUGUACCAUCGUGUGUUAAAAUAAACUAAAUCAUAACAGUUA
Long non-coding RNA from Osmia bicornis bicornis, 1741 nucleotides. RefSeq lists it as uncharacterized. The record is from RefSeq and is a predicted model, not a curated record. The transcript is spliced from 4 exons. NCBI's taxonomy places the organism in Eukaryota, Metazoa, Arthropoda, Insecta, Hymenoptera, Megachilidae.